GAUGAACGCUGGCGGCGUGCCUAACACAUGCAAGUCGAACGGAAAGACGAUGAGCUUGUGCCGUUCACGUUAGCGGCGGGCGGGUGAGUAACACGUGUAUCACCUACUUAUAUUUCGGGGAUAAUUACGGAAAAGCGGAUCAUAUACCGUAGAAUAUAUUGAACCGCAGGGUGCAAUGGAUAAUGUCGGCUUUUGUGGCUGUAAUAGCUGCUUCCGCGCUGGAUUGGCUGGUUGGUAAGGUAACGGCUUACCAAGGGGACGAUGCGUGGCCGACCGGAGAGAGUGAUCGGCCACACUGGAACUGAGACACGGUCCAGACUCCUACGGGAGGCAGCAGUAGGGAAUGUUAGGCAAUGGGCGGAAGCAUGACACAGCAACGCCGCGUGAGUGAUGAAGGUCUUCGGGUCGUAAAGCCCUCUUAUUGGGUAAGAACAGCUGUGUACGUAGAUAUGGCCGUCUUGACGGUACCUAAUCAAAAAGCACCGGCUAACUACGUG
Molecule: ribosomal RNA, 497 nt
Filed under: uncultured bacterium
Lineage: Bacteria
Description: partial 16S ribosomal RNA
Rfam family: Bacterial small subunit ribosomal RNA
Source: RNAcentral